This 124-nucleotide small nuclear RNA is filed under the name Lottia gigantea (owl limpet). RNAcentral describes it as "U11 spliceosomal RNA". It matches the Rfam family "U11 spliceosomal RNA". Lineage: Eukaryota; Metazoa; Mollusca; Gastropoda; Lottiidae. The record is from Rfam by way of RNAcentral.
UAAAAGGGCCUUUGCUGUCAGUAGCACACAGUUCCAAUCGGGCUGUGCGGAAUCGCAAUCAAGAGAUUUCGGAGGCAUAAUUUUUAUCCCUGGUGGCAGUUAGACUUCACAGUCUGACGCCCGG